This 509-nucleotide ribosomal RNA is filed under the name Bothrideres sp. CO913. Its description in RNAcentral is "partial 16S ribosomal RNA". It matches the Rfam family "Bacterial large subunit ribosomal RNA", at positions 1818 to 2600 of the family's 2925-position model. Lineage: Eukaryota; Metazoa; Arthropoda; Insecta; Coleoptera; Bothrideridae. The record is from RNAcentral.
GGCCUUUAGAAAAUAAUUUAAGGUCUGACCUGCCCACUGAUAAAUUAAAUGGCCGCGGUAUUUUGACCGUGCAAAGGUAGCAUAAUCAUUAGUUUUUUAAUUGAAAGCUGGUAUGAAAGGUUUGAUGAGAAAAUAACUGUCUCAAUUUAAUUUUUUUAGAAUUUUAUUUUUAAGUUAAAAAGCUUAAAUAUUUUUAAAAGACGAGAAGACCCUAUAGAGUUUUAUAAAAUUAAUUUUUGUAAUAGAAGGAUUUUAUUAUUAUAAUAAAUAAUUUUAUUUAAUUGGGGUGAUUAAAAAAUUUAAUAAACUUUUUUUAUAUUUUUACAUUAAUUAAUGAAUUUUUGAUCCAUAAAUUAUGAUUAAAAGAUUAAAUUACCUUAGGGAUAACAGCGUAAUUUUUUUUGAGAGUUCUAAUCGAAAAAAGAGAUUGCGACCUCGAUGUUGGAUUAAAGUUAAUUUUGGGUGUAGAAGCUUAAAAAUUAGGUCUGUUCGACCUUUAAAACUUUACA